RNAcentral lists this ribosomal RNA (892 nucleotides) under uncultured bacterium. Its description in RNAcentral is "bacterial SSU rRNA". It matches the Rfam family "Bacterial small subunit ribosomal RNA", at positions 8 to 916 of the family's 1533-position model. The record is from RNAcentral.
AGAGUUUGAUCCUGGCUCAGGAUGAACGCUAGCGGCAGGCCUAAUACAUGCAAGGCGAGGGGUUAGCAAUAACACCGUCGUACGGGUGCGUAACGCGUAUGCAACCUACCUAUCACAGGGGGAUAGCCUUUGGAAACAGGGAUUAAUACCGCAUAAAGCAGGGGCUUGGCAUCAAGAUACUGCUAAAGAUUUAUCGGUGAUAGAUGGGCAUGCGUCUGAUUAGUUAGAUGGUGAGGUAACGGCUCACCAUGACGAUGAUCAGUAGGGGGCGUCAGAGCGUGGUCCCCCACACUGGCACUGAGAUACGGGCCAGACUCCUACGGGAGGCAGCAGUAGGGAAUAUUGGGCAAUGGAUGCAAGUCUGACCCAGCCAUGCCGCGUGCAGGAAGAAGGUCCUCUGGAUUGUAAACUGCUUUUGUCGGGGAAGAAUAGGCAUCUUGCGAGGUGUUGUGACGGUACCCGAUGAAUAAGCCACGGCUAACUACGUGCCAGCAGCCGCGGUAAUACGUAGGUGGCAAGCGUUGUCCGGAUUUAUUGGGUUUAAAGGGUGCGUAGGUGGUUUGCUAAGUCAGUGGUGAAAGCUGGUUGCUCAACAAUCAAGUUGCCAUUGAUACUGUCAUACUUGAAAGAAGUGGAGGCUCAUGGAAUGGAUGGUGUAUCGGUGAAAUGCAUAGAUAUCAUCCAGAACGUCGAUUGCGAAGGCAGUGGGCUGUACUUUUUCUGACACUGAGGCACGAAAGCGUGGGGAUCAAACAGGAUUAGAUACCCUGGUAGUCCACGCUGUAAACGAUGCGAACUAGCUUUCUGGUUUAGAUUAGGAGGCUAAGGGAAACCGAUAAGUUCGCCACCUGGGGAGUACCCCGGCAACGGUGAAACUUAAAGGAAUUGACGG